AGGAAAAGAAACCAACAGGGAUUGCCUCAGUAACGGCGAGUGAAGCGGCAAAAGCUCAAAUUUGAAAUCUAGCACCUUCGGUGUUCGAGUUGUAAUUUGAAGAUGGUAACCUUGGGUUUGGCUCUUGUCUAUGUUCCUUGGAACAGGACGUCAUAGAGGGUGAGAAUCCCGUCUGAUGAGAUGCCCAUUCCUAUGUAAGGUGCUAUCGAAGAGUCGAGUUGUUUGGGAAUGCAGCUCUAAGUGGGUGGUAAAUUCCAUCUAAAGCUAAAUAUUGGCGAGAGACCGAUAGCGAACAAGUACAGUGAUGGAAAGAUGAAAAGAACUUUGAAAAGAGAGUGAAAAAGUACGUGAAAUUGUUGAAAGGGAAGGGCAUUAGAUCAGACUUGGUGUUUUACGAUUAUCUUCUCUUCUUGAGUUGUGCACUCGUAUUUCACUGGGCCAGCAUCGAUUCGGAUGGCAAGAUAAUGGCAGUUGAAUGUGGCUUCACUUCGGUGGAGUGUUAUAGCUUCUGCUGAUAUUGCCUGUCUGGAUCGAGGGCUGCGUCUUUUGACUAGGAUGCUGGCGUAAUGAUCUAAUGCCGCCCGUCUU
This 588-nucleotide ribosomal RNA is filed under the name Hansenula anomala. Its description in RNAcentral is "LSU rRNA". It matches the Rfam family "Eukaryotic large subunit ribosomal RNA", at positions 54 to 655 of the family's 3401-position model. The record is from RNAcentral. Lineage: Eukaryota; Fungi; Ascomycota; Saccharomycetes; Phaffomycetales; Wickerhamomycetaceae.